AAACCAUGAUGAAGACAACGCCGAAGUAAUUCUUUAUAUCUUUCCCAAGCUUUGAACAACUAUUUAGAAUCUUGCUACAUAAAUGAUGUAAUAUCAUUCCUAAUUUU
RNAcentral lists this small nucleolar RNA (107 nucleotides) under Theobroma cacao (cacao). Its description in RNAcentral is "Plant small nucleolar RNA R71". It matches the Rfam family "Plant small nucleolar RNA R71". From Rfam's summary of the family: R71 is a member of the C/D box family of snoRNAs containing the C (UGAUGA) and D (CUGA) box motifs. Multiple nearly identical copies of this snoRNA have been identified in Arabidopsis, and it is thought to function as a 2'-O-ribose methylation guide for 18S ribosomal RNA. Lineage: Eukaryota; Viridiplantae; Streptophyta; Magnoliopsida; Malvales; Malvaceae. The record is from Rfam by way of RNAcentral.